This 207-nucleotide ribosomal RNA is filed under the name uncultured bacterium. RNAcentral describes it as "partial 16S ribosomal RNA". It matches the Rfam family "Bacterial small subunit ribosomal RNA", at positions 568 to 774 of the family's 1533-position model. The record is from RNAcentral.
UGCGUAGGAGGUUGCGUAAGUCAGAUGUGAAAUCUCACCGCUUAACGGUGAAACUGCAUUUGAUACUGCGUAGCUCGAGGAUCGGAGAGGAAAACGGAAUUCCUGGUGUAGCGGUGAAAUGCGUAGAUAUCAGGAAGAACACCAAAGGCGUAAGCAGUUUUCUAGACGAUACCUGACUCUGAUGCACGAAGGCUAGGGGAGCAAACG